UUCAGUACGGGCCGUUCCGGGUGCAUCAGAAUGCCUAUAAAUAGGGCCCUAGGGUAUUUGGAAAUUCAUAACUUGGAGAAGAGGUCCUAGAGAGAGAAAGAAGAGAGAGAAAGGGAGAAAGAGAGAGAGGAGGGGAAGGAAAAGGGGAGAGAGAAGAAGAAGAAUCCAGUAGAGGAGGUUCUGCCUAAGGAGAGAAAGGAGGAGGAAGAUAGAGGAGGUUCUACUCUAGUUCCGGUCCGGUUUAAGAAAAAGAGGAGGAGGUUCUGCCUGAGUUCCUAUUUAUCCAGGUGGAGAAGAUCCGGCUACGAGUGGCAUCUAGAAUGCCAACUGUUUUAUUUUGGGAAAUGCUCUGAUAUUGUGACAUCGGGGCAAAGGAUUUUUAGGAUGAAAUAUUUAUGUGAAUUUGGUACUGUAAUAUUAUUUUGAAAACAAUUUGUAAAGAAUCUUGUGUUUUAUGUUUGAUAUUUCAAUUAGUGUAGUUGUUGAAGUUUCUUA
This is a long non-coding RNA of Cajanus cajan (pigeon pea), 495 nucleotides long. RefSeq lists it as uncharacterized. The record is from RefSeq and is a predicted model, not a curated record. NCBI's taxonomy places the organism in Eukaryota, Viridiplantae, Streptophyta, Magnoliopsida, Fabales, Fabaceae.